This 253-nucleotide ribosomal RNA is filed under the name uncultured bacterium. Its description in RNAcentral is "partial 16S ribosomal RNA". It matches the Rfam family "Bacterial small subunit ribosomal RNA", at positions 524 to 776 of the family's 1533-position model. The record is from RNAcentral.
UACAGAGGGUGCGAGCGUUGUUCGGAAUUAUUGGGCGUAAAGCGCAUGUAGGCGGGAUGUUAAGUCGCGUGUGAAAGCCCCAGGCUCAACCUGGGAAGUGCGCGCGAAACUGGCAACCUUGAGUGCUGGAGAGGGUGGCGGAAUUCCCGGUGUAGAGGUGAAAUUCGUAGAUAUCGGGAGGAACACCGGUGGCGAAGGCGGCGACCUGGGUCGACACUGACGCUGAGGCGCGAAAGCGUGGGGAGCAAACAGG